CCUACGGGGGGCAGCAGUGGGGAAUAUUGCACAAUGGGGGAAACCCUGAUGCAGCCAUGCCGCGUGUGUGAAGAAGGCCUUCGGGUUGUAAAGCACUUUCAGUGGGGAGGAAGGGGAGUAAGCGAAUAACUUGCUUCAUUGACGUUACCCACAGAAGAAGCACCGGCUAACUCCGUGCCAGCAGCCGCGGUAAUACGGAGGGUGCAAGCGUUAAUCGGAAUAACUGGGCGUAAAGCGCACGCAGGCGGUUAUAUAAGUCAGAUGUGAAAGCCCCGGGCUC
This 280-nucleotide ribosomal RNA is filed under the name uncultured bacterium. RNAcentral describes it as "partial 16S ribosomal RNA". It matches the Rfam family "Bacterial small subunit ribosomal RNA", at positions 338 to 610 of the family's 1533-position model. The record is from RNAcentral.